This 286-nucleotide long non-coding RNA is filed under the name Trifolium pratense (red clover). RNAcentral's name for it is "long non-coding RNA (TPRA_LNC007831)". The record is from RNAcentral. Lineage: Eukaryota; Viridiplantae; Streptophyta; Magnoliopsida; Fabales; Fabaceae.
AAAAGAAAAACAAACCAAAAACAAAAGGACCAAGCAAAAAAAAAAGUGAACCAAACAAUAGAUUAAAAAAUUGGGACUAAUAAAGUUGGAAUAAAAUUUCACCAAGUGAAUAAGUGAGAAUAAACUCCAAGAAAACGAGAGAUGAGUAAGUAGAUAUGCUAUUUGGAACCUUAAAUUGCAUAGAACGUAGUAAGCAAAAUAUGCUAUUUGAUACAUAAUUUUCAAAAAAUGAGAACACGUGGAACAAAUAGUCAAAGCCACCAUAUAUGAAUCAUAUUCUAUAAUC